CCUACGGGGGGCAGCAGUGAGGAAUAUUGGUCAAUGGGCGGGAGCCUGAACCAGCCAAGUCGCGUGAGGGAAGACGGUCCUAUGGAUUGUAAACCUCUUUUGUCGGGGAGCAAAGAGAUCACGUGUGGUCAAAAGCGAGAGUACCCGAAGAAAAAGCAUCGGCUAACUCCGUGCCAGCAGCCGCGGUAAUACGGAGGAUGCGAGCGUUAUCCGGAUUUAUUGGGUUUAAAGGGUGCGUAGGCGGGCUUUUAAGUCAGCGGUAAAAAUUCGGGGCUCAACCCCGUCCGGCCGUUGAAACUGGGGGC
Molecule: ribosomal RNA, 305 nt
Filed under: uncultured bacterium
Lineage: Bacteria
Description: bacterial SSU rRNA
Rfam family: Bacterial small subunit ribosomal RNA
Source: RNAcentral